AUUGAACGCUGGCGGCAUGCUUUACACAUGCAAGUCGAACGGCAGCGCGGGCUUCGGCCUGGCGGCGAGUGGCGGACGGGUGGGUAAUUCAUCGGAACGUGCCCAGCAGCGGGGGAGAGGGCGGCGAAAGCCGGAUUAAUACCGCAAACGACCUUAGGGUGUAAGGGGGGGACCGAAAGGCCUUGCGCUAUUGGAGGGGCCGAUGUCGGAUUAGCUAGUUGGCGGGGUAAAGGCUUACCAAGGCGACGAUCCGUAGCUGGUCUGAGAGGACGACCAGCCACACUGGGACUGAGACACGGUCCAGACUCCUACGGGAGGCAGCAGUGGGGAAUUUUGGACAAUGGGCGCAAGCCUGAUCCAGCCAUGCCGCGUGGGUGAAGAAGGCCUUCGGGUUGUAAAGCGCUUUUGUUCGGGAAGAAAACCUGUGGGCUAAUACCCCGGUGUGAUGACGGUACCGGAAGAAUAAGCACCGGCUAACUACGUG
Molecule: ribosomal RNA, 484 nt
Filed under: uncultured bacterium
Lineage: Bacteria
Description: partial 16S ribosomal RNA
Rfam family: Bacterial small subunit ribosomal RNA
Source: RNAcentral